AUUGAACGCUGGCGGCAGGCCUAACACAUGCAAGUCGAGCGGAUGAAGGGAGCUUGCUCCUGGAUUCAGCGGCGGACGGGUGAGUAUUGCCCAGGAAUCUGCCUGGUAGUGGGGGAUAACGUCCGGAAACGGGCGCUAAUACCGCAUACGUCCUGAGGGAGAAAGUGGGGGAUCUUCGGACCUCACGCUAUCAGAUGAGCCUAGGUCGGAUUAGCUAGUUGGUGGGGUAAAGGCCUACCAAGGCGACGAUCCGUAACUGGUCUGAGAGGAUGAUCAGUCACACUGGAACUGAGACACGGUCCAGACUCCUACGGGAGGCAGCAGUGGGGAAUAUUGGACAAUGGGCGAAAGCCUGAUCCAGCCAUGCCGCGUGUGUGAAGAAGGUCUUCGGAUUGUAAAGCACUUUAAGUUGGGAGGAAGGGCAGUAAGUUAAUACCUUGCUGUUUUGACGUUACCAACAGAAUAAGCACCGGCUAACUUCGUG
Molecule: ribosomal RNA, 484 nt
Filed under: uncultured bacterium
Lineage: Bacteria
Description: partial 16S ribosomal RNA
Rfam family: Bacterial small subunit ribosomal RNA
Source: RNAcentral